AGAGUUUGAUCCUGGCUCAGGACGAACGCUGGCGGCGUGCUUAACACAUGCAAGUCGAACGAGAGCGUAGAGAAAGCUUGCUUUUUCUACAAUCUAGUGGCAAACGGGUGAGUAACGCGUAAACAACCUGCCCUACGGAUGGGGACAACAGCUGGAAACGGCUGCUAAUACCGAAUACGUUCCGAAAGUCGCAUGACUGUCGGAAGAAAGGAUGGCCUCUAUUUAUAAGCUAUCGCCGGAGGAGGGGUUUGCGUCUGAUUAGCUAGUUGGAGGGGUAACGGCCCACCAAGGCGACGAUCAGUAGCCGGUCUGAGAGGAUGAACGGCCACAUUGGAACUGAGACACGGUCCAGACUCCUACGGGAGGCAGCAGUGGGGAAUCUUCCGCAAUGGGCGAAAGCCUGACGGAGCAACGCCGCGUGAGUGAAGACGGCCUUCGGGUUGUAAAGCUCUGUUAUACGGGACGAAUAAUCUUGUGGUUAAUACCCAUAAGAAGUGACGGUACCGUAAGAGAAAGCCACGGCUAACUACGUGCCAGCAGCCGCGGUAAUACGUAGGUGGCAAGCGUUGUCCGGAAUUAUUGGGCGUAAAGGGCGCGCAGGCGGCUUCUUAAGUCUGUCUUAAAAGUGCGGGGCUUAACCCCGUGAUGGGAUGGAAACUGGGAAGCUCAGAGUAUCGGAGAGGAAAGCGGAAUUCCUAGUGUAGCGGUGAAAUGCGUAGAUAUUAGGAGGAACACCAGUGGCGAAAGCGGCUUUCUGGACGAAAACUGACGCUGAGGCGCGAAAGCCAGGGGAGCGAACGGGAUUAGAUACCCCGGUAGUCCUGGCCGUAAACGAUGGGUACUAGGUGUAGGAGGUAUCGACCCCUUCUGUGCCGGAGUUAACGCAAUAA
RNAcentral lists this ribosomal RNA (890 nucleotides) under human gut metagenome. RNAcentral's name for it is "bacterial SSU rRNA". It matches the Rfam family "Bacterial small subunit ribosomal RNA", at positions 8 to 863 of the family's 1533-position model. The record is from RNAcentral.